This is a non-coding RNA of Pelobates cultripes (western spadefoot toad), 217 nucleotides long. NCBI's taxonomy places the organism in Eukaryota, Metazoa, Chordata, Amphibia, Anura, Pelobatidae. The record is from the annotation of a GenBank genome assembly.
CUGGGAUCCCUGGCUUUGAGAACUACUGAUAGGUCCCCAUAAGCAUAGGUCUUGUUCUCCACUAUAUCCUGGGCAGCAAUAAGGAAUGAUAUCAGAUUCACAUCCUUACCGUCCAGGGUAUCUUUACGUAAAUGAAGAGGCACCAUGUGGGCAGGUGUGAUCAUUAGCGUAUCUAACUGUGAUACCGGGGCCACAACAUUACCCUGUAGAAUUGCUG